This 68-nucleotide transfer RNA is filed under the name Chrysomelidae sp. SOIL MMG Contig15. RNAcentral describes it as "tRNA-Val". Lineage: Eukaryota; Metazoa; Arthropoda; Insecta; Coleoptera; Chrysomelidae. The record is from RNAcentral.
CAAAGUAGAGCUUGAUUAAAGUUUUUUAUUUACAUUAAAAAGAUAAUUGUUUAUCCAAUUUAUUUUGA